GAAAUGCGAUAAGUAGUGUGAAUUGCAGAAUUCAGUGAAUCAUCGAAUCUUUGAACGCACAUUGCGCCCUUUGGUAUUCCUUAGGGCAUGCCUGUUCGAGCGUCAUCUAAACCUUCAAGCCCUGCUUGGUGUUGGGUGCCUGUCCCGCCUCCGCGCGCGGACUCACCUCAAAUCCAUUGGCGGCCCCCGCGUCGGCCACGAGCGCAGCAGAAACGCGAACUCGUGAGCCCGUCCGGGCGGCUCCCAGAAGCUACACCCACCCAGUUUGACCCCGGAUCAGGUAGGGAUACCCGCUGAACUUAAGC
RNAcentral lists this unclassified non-coding RNA (305 nucleotides) under plant metagenome. Its description in RNAcentral is "partial contains 5.8S ribosomal RNA, internal transcribed spacer 2, and large subunit ribosomal RNA". The stretch from base 1 to 105 matches the Rfam family "5.8S ribosomal RNA", at positions 50 to 154 of the family's 154-position model. The record is from RNAcentral.